This 332-nucleotide ribosomal RNA is filed under the name Glaucomys sabrinus (northern flying squirrel). RNAcentral describes it as "partial large subunit ribosomal RNA". It matches the Rfam family "Bacterial large subunit ribosomal RNA", at positions 1971 to 2478 of the family's 2925-position model. The record is from RNAcentral. Lineage: Eukaryota; Metazoa; Chordata; Mammalia; Rodentia; Sciuridae.
GUUCCUUAAUAGGGACUUGUAUGAAUGGCUUAACGAGGGUUUAACUGUCUCUUACUUCCAAUCAGUGAAAUUGACCUUUCCGUGAAGAGGCGGAAAUAACUAAAUAAGACGAGAAGACCCUAUGGAGCUUAAAUUUACUAGUCUAAGCAAUCUAAUACCACAAUCCUCUGGGACACAAAACAUAACUUCUAGACUAUACAUUUUGGUUGGGGUGACCUCGGAGUAAAAAAGAACCUCCGAAUGAUCUUAAUCCAGACAUAACCUGUCUAAAUUUCUACUCAUUAAUUGACCCAAAUUUAUUGAUCAACGGAACAAGUUACCCUAGGGAUAAC